UGUUUUCUUAAAGUUCUUAGG
RNAcentral lists this non-coding RNA (21 nucleotides) under Caenorhabditis elegans. Lineage: Eukaryota; Metazoa; Nematoda; Chromadorea; Rhabditida; Rhabditidae. The record is from RNAcentral.